UACUAGAGUAGCACUCGCAUAUCAAUAAGCGGAGGAAAAGAAACUAACAAGGAUUCCCCUAGUAACGGCGAGUGAAGCGGGAAGAGCUCAAAUUUGAAAUCUUAAAGGGUUUCCCUUUACGAAUUGUAGUUUAAAGAAGUGUUUUCUGUUGAGGUUUUGGUAAAAGUUCUUUGGAAUAGGACAUCAUAGAGGGUGAGAAUCCCGUAUUUGACCUUUACUUUCAACUUUGUGAUACACUUUCAAAGAGUCGGAUUGUUUGGGAAUGCAGUCCAAAAUGGGUGGUAAAUUUCAUCUAAAGCUAAAUAUUGGCGAGAGACCGAUAGCGAACAAGUACCGUGAGGGAAAGAUGAAAAGAACUUUGAAAAGAGAGUUAAACAGUACGUGAAAUUGUCAAAAGGGAAGCGUUUGACACCAGUGUUGUUUUUCUGAAAAUCAAUUAAAGAACUGUUUAUGCUAAGUUGUUUAGACUUUAUCAGCUAACUGUUUAGUUUUGAGCUUUUCUUUAAUGCACUUUUCAGUUAACAAGUCAACAUCAAUUUCUUUUGCUGUAAAAAAGCCUGAGGAAGGUGGCUUGAGAUUCGUCUUAAGUGUUUAUAGCCUCUUGCCUAUGCAGUCGGAGAGAUUGAGGUCUGCAGCGUAGAUCCUUCGGGGCUAAAUGCAUUUGUGCUAAGUUAUAGCAUUUUAUAGACAACUUGUUGACUAUGAUUUGUCUUGUAGCUUACUCGCUUAUGUUAUUUUACCUACGCUUAGGAUGUUGAUCUCUCACAGUCGAGC
This 774-nucleotide ribosomal RNA is filed under the name uncultured Neocallimastigales. Its description in RNAcentral is "partial large subunit ribosomal RNA". It matches the Rfam family "Eukaryotic large subunit ribosomal RNA", at positions 20 to 645 of the family's 3401-position model. The record is from RNAcentral. Lineage: Eukaryota; Fungi; Neocallimastigomycota; Neocallimastigomycetes; Neocallimastigales.